CGGCGGUGGGUAUCUCGCGCUCGCAUCGGUGGGGGACGUGGCGGGGUGCGGUACUUGGUGUGGGUUGCGGGGUCCCGUGGACCGUCGGGUUUUUGGGCCGGGUUGCGCCCGGAACCGCUUGGCUGGGGCGCGUCUGCCUGGGGUCGC
This 147-nucleotide ribosomal RNA is filed under the name Berberis lycium. RNAcentral's name for it is "5.8S ribosomal RNA". Lineage: Eukaryota; Viridiplantae; Streptophyta; Magnoliopsida; Ranunculales; Berberidaceae. The record is from RNAcentral.